This 497-nucleotide ribosomal RNA is filed under the name uncultured bacterium. RNAcentral's name for it is "partial 16S ribosomal RNA". It matches the Rfam family "Bacterial small subunit ribosomal RNA", at positions 28 to 507 of the family's 1533-position model. The record is from RNAcentral.
GAUGAACGCUGGCGGCGUGCCUAAUACAUGCAAGUCGAGCGCUGAAGGUUGGUACUUGUACUACCUGGAUGAGCAGCGAACGGGUGAGUAACGCGUGGGGAAUCUGCCUUUGAGCGGGGGACAACAUUUGGAAACGAAUGCUAAUACCGCAUAAAAACUUUAAACACAUGUUUUAAGAUUGAAAGAUGCAAUUGCAUUACCUAAAGAUGAUUCCGCGUUGUAUUAGCUAGUUGGUGAGGUAAAGGCUCACCAAGGCGAUGAUACAUAGCCGACCUGAUAGGGGGGUCGGCCACAUUGGGACUGAGACGCGGCCCAAACUCCUGCGGGAAGCAGCAGUAGGGAAUCUUCGGCAAUGGACGGAAGUCUGGCCGAGCAACGGCGCGUGAGAGAAGAAGGUUUUCGGAACGGAAAACACUGUUGGUGGGGGAGAACGAUGGUGGGAAGGGAAAGCUCAUCAAGUGACGGUAACUACCCAGAAAGAAACGGCUAACUACGUG